UUCUCCACCAUCUCACCUUUUCCUUUUCCCUUUCUACCCUUUCCCUUUCCUUACUCUCAAUAUCGAUCUCCUUCUUCCAUCAACCCCAUAAUAGUCAUAUCACCUUUUCUUCUUCCCCCAAAAAUUAUCCCCUGGAACGUUUCAUAUAUCUUCCCCCUUUUUUUUUCUCUGCUCAAUCUUUCAAAUCCGAGAUCAAUUUUCUUUUCCAUCUUUUCAUUUUCGGAAUAUCUCUGCGUUUAACAUCAGAUUCAAUAUAUUUUCACUUUUUUGUUUUUCAUAGGGUUUUUUCCUCCCUAAUUCUAGGGUUUAUUGUUUUCAAUUUUAAUAUGUUUUUUCUCCGUUAACGGAAGUUGAGUUGAAUAAUUACAUCAAUUAAGUACUCAUAUUUUAUUGUAGAUUCGUCAGUUUUUUGUUAUUGUUGUUGAAGUUAGGGUUGAUGGCUGAUCGGAGUUUAGCCGUUGUGAAGCCGGUUUGGAUGAAGCAAGCCGAAGAAGCGAAGCUGAAGAGCGAAGCAGAGAAAGAUGCGGCUGCCAAAGCUGCUUUUGAAGCCACGUUUAAGGGUUUGGUGAAAAGUCACGAGAAGAGGGCUGCUAAUUCGGACAGUGAUUCGGAUGAAUACGAGGAUUUGGCCCAUAAGCCCCUUGGGCCUGUGGAUCCUUCCAAGUGCACUGCUGCUGGCACUGGAAUUGCCGGAGGAACGGCCUGUGCUCCGUCUUCGUUCUCUGUGGUGACUAAGGAUGCUGAUGAGAGGAGGGUUUCAAUUGGGGGUGCACAAAUUAAGGUGAAAGUGACGCCAGGUUUGGGUGUUGGAGGGUCUGAUCAAGAAGGGAUUGUCAAGGAUAUGGGUGAUGGAACUUACACUGUUACUUAUGUGGUGCCUAAGCGAGGGAACUAUAUGGUUAAUGUUGAAUGUAAUGGCAGGCCAAUCAUGGGUAGUCCAUUCCCUGUCUUUUUCAGUGCAGGUAUUCAUCAUUACCAAGACAGCAAAAUCAUCUGCUUUAAUGUUUACUCUAUGUGAAUAUGUAUAUCUGCAAUGUGGUUCUUUUGAGUUUUUCGAUAUAAGUUGUCAAUAGCGUGCUAUAGCGAUAUAGCGGCCACUGGUCACUUUUCAAAGUAUGAAUUGGAGCAUUUUGCUGUGGCGACUGUUAUCGCAACUGCAGCUAAAUGUUUUGGAAAUGAACUUUGUUCUAUAUAUUAUUUAAUUUAAUAUUCAUAUACAUACAAAAUUCAGAAUUAGCAGUCAUCCCGCAAUGCUCCAUCUUGCUUUAGUGUUUUGAGGUUGGCUGCUACACACUGCUAUCCAGGAUCAAUAACUGCCAAUUAUACUUGGUUUCUGUUUUAUAUAGUUGGGUUGUUUGGUAUUUACUUAUGAGUAGGAAGGAACACGAGGGUCUAAAUCUAAGCAAAUUUAGUAACAAAUGCUGAAGUUAAAAAUAUAAUUCUCUCCAUUUGGGAUAACGGGAUUUGUUGCUUAAGUCACCUCCUUUUCAUUCUUGAUAUCCGUGGUAUGCUGUAUCAUAAAAUAAAAUACUGAAUUAAUAAAUAAAUAAGAUGACCUUUUUGAUACACACAUCUGUAUUUUGGUUUAUAGUAAUCACAAUGCUUGCCAAAUUUUAAUUCCUUGAUUUGUUUUUGUUGUAGGUAAUGGUAAUGGAGGGCUUUUGGGUUUAGCUCCUCCAUCUUCAUUUCCAAAUCUGGUUAAUCAAACUAUGCCCAACAUGCCAAAUUACUCUGGCUCCGUUUCAGGGGCAUUCCCAGGAUUGUUGGGAAUGAUUCCAGGGAUUGUUGCUGGAGCUUCUGGGGGGGCUAUUUUGCCAGGAAUUGGGGCUUCACUCGGGGAAGUUUGUCGCGAUUACCUUAAUGGGCGCUGUGCUAAAGUUGAUUGUAAGUUGAAUCACCCACCUCAUAAUUUGCUGAUGACUGCCUUAGCUGCAACAACUUCAAUGGGAACACUUAGCCAGGCUCCUAUGGCACCUUCUGCUGCUGCAAUGGCAGCUGCCCAGGCAAUAGUUGCGGCCAAAGCCCUUCAAGCUCAUGCAGCUCAAGUGCAAGCUCAGUCAGCAAAAGAUUCUACCGGUAUGGUGUGUGGUAUAUUAAUUUUGUUUGUGUUGGUGGUAUGUUCUUGAUAUUGCACUAUGUUUGGUUGUGACUUUGUUGACAUUUUUUGUUGUCUUUUUACUGUUUCCUGGUUGUUUCUUACAACUGAUUUUGCCACCACUAUCAGGUUCACCUGACAAAGCUAAUAAGGAGGAUGUGUUGAAGAAAACUCUUCAAGUUAGCAAUCUUAGCCCACUUCUCACUGUGGAACAGCUAAAACAACUCUUUGGUUUCUGUGGCACUGUUGUUGAAUGCACAAUCACUGAUUCAAAGCAUUUUGCUUAUAUAGAAUACUCAAAACCCGAAGAGGCAACUGCGGCAAUGGCUUUAAACAACAUUGAUGUUGGGGGGCGUCCUUUGAAUGUUGAAAUGGCAAAAUCACUUCCGCCGAAAUCAGCUAUGAAUUCUUCACUUGCUUCAUCCUCCCUCCCUUUGAUGAUGCAGCAAGCUGUUGCCAUGCAACAAAUGCAAUUCCAGCAAGCGCUGCUUAUGCAACAAACUAUGACUGCACAGCAGGCUGCUAACCGAGCUGCAACCAUGAAAUCUGCCACAGAUUUAGCAGCAGCACGAGCUGCAGAAAUUAGUAAGAAAUUGAAUCCCGAUGGACUUGAAAUCGAAGAGAAAGAGACGAAACAGAAGUCCAGGUGUGAUUUUUUGCUGGUUGUUUUAAGGAUAAUGUAUUAUUCUUUAUGGUCAUUGUUUAAUUUCUUUCAAUUUUGAUUUAUUGUUGCAACUGUUUGAUAUUUUGUUAUUAGCAUGCCCUUGCAUAUGAAAUUUAGGAAUCAUGAACUCACAAUGUGGUGCCUGAAAACUUAAGAUGUAGCAUAUUGAGCAAAGAAAUCUUAAAUGCGUGUGUACAAGAUUGUAAAGUUACAAAUGAGGCAAACUUCAGAGAAGUGUGGUUGAAAUUUUUGAAUCAAAUCAAGUUCCUAUUUUUUUUCUAGCUAGAAAUGGUAGAGUUGUGUCUAUAGAAGUCAAAGGCAGCAAACCUUUAUCAUAUAAGAAGAUUUGGUUUUAAUGAGUUUUGUUUGUAUUUAGAACUAAGCUGUGUCUUCUGUUGAAGAAUCAAACAUAUUGUUAGUGGCCUGGCAGCUGGCAAGUUUAUCACGGAUCAUGUUUAUUUUGAAAUAAACUAUGAUGACAAAAUAUUGUUUUACGUUAUUAUUUUAGAUUGUGUACCGUUCAGUAUCAUGUUUUUAUUUUUAAAUGUCUCUGUAAAACUAAAACUGAAUAUCCUUUUGUAGAUCACCUUCUCCCCCUCCCGAAAGAUCACGAUCAAAGUCAAGAUCUCCUAUCAAUUAUCGGAGGAGGAGGAAGUCUCGUUCCUUCUCACCUGCUCGUCAAUCUAAGGAUCACCGGUCCAGGUCACCAUUGAGGUUCCAUCAUCAUUCAAGGUAUGAAAGGGAAUGGAGAUCCUAUAGAGAGAGCAGGGAACAUAGUGAUAGGUUCAGAAGACGAGAUUCAGAUAGAUUUAUUGAUCAUUCAUCUGGUUCGAGAAGAAACAGAAGUAGGAGUGUUAGCCCUCAUGCAAGGAGAUCACCUGUUUCUCCUAAACGUCACACAGGAAGUUCGUCUCAUAGAGGAAGGAAACAGUCUCGUGCUGAUUCUGGCUCUCCAAGUCAUUGCAGAGGAAGUAGGUCUUCUCCAAAGAUUGAUGAAAAGAAAAUAAGAAACAGAAGGCGCUCAAGGUCUAGAUCUUCAGAUGAAAAGCUUAACCUUUUUGACAAAAAUGACGAAAUCUUGCCUGAAAAGGCGAAACAUAGAGAGCGAAGGCGGUCGAGGUCAGUGCCUGUGGACGAGAAGCCUCACAGGAACCAAUCAUCCCCAAGAAAAGUAGAUGAAAGCAGACCUAGGCACAGGAAGCGGUCCAGGUCAAAAUCUGUGGACGAUAAGCAUCACUUGUCUGACAGAUUGGAUGAAAACAGAAAUAGAAGGUCAAUAUCUUCAGAUGAUAAGCUUAACCCCUCCGACAAAAACGAAGAAAUCGUACAUGAAAAAUCUAAACAUAGAGAGCGAAGGCGGUCCAGGUCCUUAUCUGUUGACGAUAAGCCUCCGAGGAGGCGAUCGUCCCCAAGAAAAGUGGAUGAAAGCAGAUCCAGGCACAAGAAGCGAUCCAGGUCAAGAUCUGUGGACGAUAAGCGUCACUUGUCUGCGAAAUUGGAUGAAAACAGAAAUAGAAGAUCAAGGCAUAGUGAUAAAAGGCGCUCCAGAUCGAGAUCUAUGGAAAAUAGGGACCGGGCUUAUGUCAGAGAGGAUGGAAGCAAACAUGAAAAGUCAAAAAAUCACGAUACAAAAUAUAACAGGUCAGAAUCUGAUGAAGGGAAGCAUCACUCUAAAGGUAAAUCAGGUGAAAAUAGAGAUAAGAAAUCAAAGCAUCGCGAUAGAAGGCAUUCAAGGUCAAUAUCAUCAGAAGGUAAGCAUGACAAAGGAGGCACUUCAGCUCAUAGAGAAGAGAGAGAUUUUGAACACAAAAGAUUCAGGUCGAAGUCUCCUAACGCCAAGCACCACGGCAAUGAUAAAUAUGGUAAUAAAGAUGAAAGAUCAGAGCAUCAAGAGAAAACCUUGUUUAAAUCAAAAACAGAAAAUCAUCAGCAAGAUGAAGGGAGUGGGCACUCCCCAAGAAAUUUCAAGGAGUGUGAAUCAAAAGGAAAAACAAAAUCUGGUUCUAGAUCUGCAGAAUUUAAGCAUCAUUUGACCGAUGGAGAAAGUGAUCCCAGUGAAGAAAAUUCAAAACAUCUUGAAAAUGGCAUACAAGAACCAAUUUUAAAUGCGAAGGACUUAACAAACCUGAAUGAUAAUGGGAUAUUAAUUCGUGAGAGUGAAAACCCGAAUUCAGAUGGGUCAACUGGAAAUGCAGGAGCUGAUGAUAACCCAGGUAUGGCAAGUCCUAUAGUCUGAACUCUUAACAUUGACAUUAUUCAUGUAAGGUUAGACGUUGCAAAAUCUCAGCUUAUUCUUUGAUACAGGGUGGAGAUGUGUGGAAGAAGUUGGAAGUCGGAAAUAUUAAGCAUGCUUGCCUUGGUAAUAGCCAAUGAUCUUAAUUAUAGAACAGAUUUGAUUACUUACGUGUCAUUAUAAAAGCUAAGUUGCCUUCUGUGUGCUUUACAGGAGUGGUGGAUCUCAACGAUUUUACCUGGCUUUUGACAAUGCUAACAACAUAGCUAUAAGUAUAGAUUUUUGUUAUUUCAUCUCAAAUGGAGGAGUACGUAAAAGAGGACACUGAAAGUCCCUUGCUUAUAAAUGCUGAUCAGAGAAGCUGUUAAUGGAGACAGAUAUGAUUUAUCAUCUAUAGAGCAUAAUAUUGUCGGAUAAAGCACUACACAGAUCAUGGUGUUGUCUAUGGUUGAAGAUUUAUGCACCUGUUAAUGAUUAUGGGAUGACAGCAUAUUCUAACUAAGGAUGCAACAGAUCUACCGUUCCUCUUAGGAGAAGUGUCAUUCUCAGAGGAUGCUUCCAGUAUUUGAUUGGGUCCCAAGAAUAUUCUGUUGGCUUAUGAACUUCUUCGAUUGUUUAUUUCUUUUUGCAGGUUGGAUUUGGAAAGAUCAGAUGUAGAAUCCCACAGCUGUUGGUGUGAUUUAAGAUUUCAAGAAAUGACCUGCUUUUGUCAUGAUCAACCAUGCCGAACUAUAUCGUGCUUCUUUUACUGGUUGAUUGAUGUAUGUUGGAUGUUAUUUUAAAUAUACUGUUCAUCUUGUUUAAUUAAAGGUGUCACAUUUUACUAUGUUGGGUAUUGAUAUUAAUUUUUAAAAUCUGGUGGAAUCUGAAUAAUUUUAGUUUUUCUGGUCCUUCAGAAAUGUUGGUUUCUAUUAACCAGUCUCCUUAUUAUAUAUAUGUAAAACUUUUUUGGGCCAAGGGUAGAAGUGAUGUGUAAUCUGAACCAUCUAUUGAUGUUUUAGUUUAUGUCGUCUUGUUAGUCUCUAUUGCAUCUAGAUUAUAUUAUAUACCCUCCAGGGAGUUUUCGUAGUAUGAUCAUGUUUAGUUGAGAGCCACAUUCUUUAUGUGGCCCACCAUAGGUUCCAUUUCAAUUACUCAUACUUUGUGAUACGGUGGGCAUGUUAUAUCCCAAAACAAAUGCAGGUUACAUUCACAUUGAAAUCUAUUGGAGCUUUGAGAUACAGUUUUGCCGGGUUGAUUUUCUCUUGUAUAAAAAUGAAGGUAUGCAGUCAGAUUCUGAUGCUCUAUGGUUCACAGAGCAUAUCUUUUUGUUUUUCCCCAAUAAGUGUUGAGAGCAAUGAGAGCUUCUUAAUUUUGUACUAUGUUUGAGUGUUCGCAUUAAGUACUGUUUGCCAAUAUUUUUACAAUCAUCAUCUGGUGUCUUAUAUUGUCCUGCAUUUUUUUUCGUUUUUCCUUUUUUUUUUUUUUUUUCCUUUUCUCCCAAGCAAUUGUCAUGGUUAGGUAAAGCUUCUAGAUAAGGUCAACUGAACCUGGAUGUUGCUGCAAUGAGUUACACCAUGUAGCGAUUGAGCAAUUGGCUGACUUACAGCUUAUUCCUAAGUUAAUGCUGAAUUACAAAUGAUUUCAACAGGUAAUUCUCCGUGAAACUAUUGGUUGUUCCGCCAUAUGUGUAGGUUCUUCAGUAACAUUUGUAUGUAUGCUUCAUUUAGUUUUUUCAUUUUCAUGUUCACAGUGAUGGUUCCAUAUUUCACUUAUUGCAGUUCUAUGCACUUUGACUGGUUUUCAGUCAUCUUGGUGUUGUGAGUUUUUGUCGUGUUAAUUGAUAUGAUUGCGGUUUUAAAAUGUACAAUUGUUGCUAAUAAGUUUAGCUCUUUUAAAGUGAACAAUUUGCUUUAGAGGAUAAGGUGGUCUCCUUUUCAACCAUAGAUAAAUAAAUCAACAAAUGAUAUUGUGUAUGCAUAACAAAUAAUGCUCAAUUAGGAAUAUCAAAAGUUGUGUUUUUUAUCUUCUCAAUAACGAUUGACAUGUCUUACUUUAUCCUCUAAAGCGAAAACCCACUUUAGAGGAGCCUAGUGAGAGAUGCCGGAUAACUUUAGGAUUUUUCCUUUCUCAAGAACAUGAGACAUUAUUUUGGUGAUUGUGAGUCACAUUUGAAGGUUUUCCCCUUUUCUUUUGGUCUUUUUUUUUCCCUCUCACUCUUCCCUCCCCUUCUUUCCCCGAUUUAACUUUUUCUGGUUAGGUUAAGCAAUGGAUAUGAUGAUCUUAUGAGCAGCUGCAAAAUGUCUUCACCAGAUGGUUCUGUGAAGUUUGUUUUUAGAAGUUCUUUGUAUUAUAUUUUCCCUAUUUUUUAGGGUUAAAUGUCCUAAUAUAAUCUGUUCUCUCUCCACAAACUGGUCUGGUCACUGACCGCAUCCCCGAUAAGUUGGACCUUAUAUUAGGGUAUUCGGCUUUGCAUAUAGUAUAUAAUAUAUGCAAAGCCCGAUAAGUGUUUGUUCUGCAUAUAGUAUAAUAAUAUAAUAAAAAUAAAAUAACAAGGUUAGUUUGUUCUUAGUUCUGCAUAGUACUAAAACAAAAAAAAAGCAAGCAUUAUUUUUCUUGUUAUAGAUCACUUUUACUAACAUUUAGUCACGAAACCAAUCCAACCACUUCCAGCGAAGGCUUAGAAUCAAUAAAGCGUCAUUGAACUUGCUUCAUGAGACAUCUGAGUUUAGAACUCUUAACUCGUGAAACAUGAAUUCAAUGAAAAUAUAUUGCUUUAUAUAACGAACUAAACAAACAAUUUCAUUCCUAAUUUUUGAUAAUACUCAUUUUACAAUCAUUCAAUAUUCAAUCUCUCUUUAUCAAAGAAAUAAAAAGAAUCUAUUGCUCUUCAAUAAACUACAUAAAAAAAUAACUCAAUAUCCAAUUAUAUACAAUGAUUAUUCAAUUUUUAAAAUUAUUGUGUCGAUCACUUGAUAGCACAAUUAGACUUAUUCAACCCUUAAUCUCAAUUAGCAACUUUCUCCAUUUUAAUGCAUAAAAUUGUUAUUGUAGGCGAUAUUAGUCAAUUAAUUAAACUACCUAUAUCUAUCUUUAUAUAACAUGUAUUAAAAAAAAAACAAUCACUUGCGCAUUUAUGUGUUAAAAGUUUAUUUUUCCCAACCCACACUAUGGGGAUUUAUGUGUUAAAGUUUUUUUUCCUCUGAAUUUCAUCACUUGCGCAUUCAGUUUCUUCAAUUUGUCGUUCUCAUUCUUGUUUGAGGGCUUAAAUGAUCUUCUCUAAAAUUUUAACCAAUUAUUUUCUCUACUAUCUUUAAGAUUUCAACCAAAUGAAUUUCAGCAAACGUCUUUAUCCUUUUCAUCAUAAUGUAGUUAUAGUAAUGUAACAAUAAUGAUAAUAUAUGCUACGAGGGCAAAUUAGAAGGUUGCAUCUGACAGGAAAUUUUAAGUGGGAAACAAACGUAAUGUAAGCAAUGUGUGAUAUCAGAUUAUUAUAACCACUUGAUGUGCAAAUGGACAACCACUUGUAGUUACUCGGUUGUCUGAGCCCGUAAAAACAAAUAGAUGCAAAUUGUUUGUAUCACUGAAAUCAGGUUAUAGGUGUAAAUCACAAGAGUAGUCUAUAUAUUCGGAAAAAUGUUUUGUCAACGUCGGUGAAAGAGACUGAGAUAUGUAGCAAAUACAGUGUAUGAUAGAUAAUCUUCAAUAAAAAGAUUAAUGUUUUGAAUAUAAUUUUAAGUUUUGAAAUGCAUACAUUACUGACAAAUCUAUUAUAUAUAUAUAUAUAUAUAUAUAUAUAUAUAUAUAUACAUAUAUAUAUAUCAGUUUCUAUGAAGUUCUACCUACGUCUAACAAACGAUAAUCUAAAAGACAAUUAGCUAUGAAAUGCAUCUACAUGUUUGAUUUGUUUAUACAUAAUAAAAAUGCAUCAAACAAAUAAAGUGAAACUACAAUUUAAAUUAUCACAAUAAAUUCCACAUCCACCGAGGAACAUAAAAAAAUAUCAUAUAUAUAUAUAUACAAAUAUAUCAGUUUCUAUGAAGUUCUACCUACGUCUAACAAACGAUAAUCUAAAAGACAAUUAGCUAUGAAAUGCAUCUACAUGUUUGAUUUGUUUAUACAUAAUAAAAAUGCAUCAAACAAAUAAAGUGAAACUACAAUUUAAAUUAUCACAAUAAAUUCCACAUCCACCGAGGAACAUAAAAAAAUAUCAUGAAGUAGAUUUGCAUAAACAAGUUGAUUAUAGUUGAAUAUUAUUCUACGAAAAUGAGAAAAAGUAGUGGAAUGAUUUAUUUCAUAUAAUGAACGAGAGAACCAUAUUCUUCAUGGUUAGCCGCUAAAUGUUGAAUUUAAACAAAGUUAUUAAUAUAUUAUUUGGUUUUACAAAAAUUUCAAACGAUUUAUUUCUUUAGAAAACCAAUUGAUUGAUCAUUGUGUCAAUCCAUCCUAACCUCCACCACAAUCUACCCAACAUUUUUUCCAAAAACUAAUGUCCAACACAACACAUUAAAAUCAAUAUUAUACACCAACCGCUUCCUCAUACUUAUUCCUACACACCACAUCAAUCUUACGGAUUUACGCUCGAAAAACAAUUUAAUUUUGACAACCAACAACCACAACAAGAAGAUAAUUGUUGACUAUCUUUUGCAUCAAGCGAGGAUACGUUAUUGUAUAACAUGUCUAAUACUCGUUAUAAUACACCUGAGUCAUUUAUCCAUUUACUUAAUAAUAUGUAUCAAUAAAAUUUUCAGAUUAUAAGCUUUGAGAAUGCAUAUACUUCGUUAAAUCAAAUAUCCAACUGAACUUAAGGUGAAAAUAAUUAUUCUGCAACACUUUCUCCUCAACAUCCUCAAGAACAAGAAGAAAAAGAACAAAUUCGUGAUGUACCAAGAUGACAUCGUUUUUUAUGAAUGAAUUUUAAUGAAUUAUAUAUAUAUAUAUAUAUUGUUGAUUUUUUUUAAAAUUAAAUGUAAAAAAAAAAUUACCUUAAGAAAGUCGCAUUUACAAAUUCAAUUUUCUUAGACUUUAUUAAAGAAGUGUCAUUUACAAAGACGAUUUUAUAGCUAAGAAAAAAAAGAUAUUUUGAUAUAUAAUUUAAUAUAUUUUUUUGUUGAAAUAAGAGUUCUUAAAAUAAAAUCUUUUAGUAUUUCUCUUAAAAAAAAACGAUUUUGAAAAUUAAAUAUGACUUAAUUGAUGUUUUGAAAUUUUUCUAAAUUAAAUUGUUAGGAGCUUAACUAAAACGAGGAGUAGAAAAUAAGUGAAUCCAAAGGAGGGGCUAAAUCUAAUCAAAAUCCUAUGAAAAUACCACAAGAAUCAGUAAGAAAUAUUAUUAUUUAUUUUAUAAAAUAAAAAGAACCACAUAAGCAUGUUCCCAUAUAGAUCACAGUGACCCGUUCGUUCGCGUAUCAGUAUUUCGACCCAAAUCUCCAACAUCAAACUUGGCCGUCAGACGGAGGAGAACAGGUACGACUUCUCCACCAUCUCACCUUUUCCUUUUCCCUUUCUACCCUUUCCCUUUCCUUACUCUCAAUAUCGAUCUCCUUCUUCCAUCAACCCCAUAAUAGUCAUAUCACCUUUUCUUCUUCCCCCAAAAAUUAUCCCCUGGAACGUUUCAUAUAUCUUCCCCCUUUUUUUUUCUCUGCUCAAUCUUUCAAAUCCGAGAUCAAUUUUCUUUUCCAUCUUUUCAUUUUCGGAAUAUCUCUGCGUUUAACAUCAGAUUCAAUAUAUUUUCACUUUUUUGUUUUUCAUAGGGUUUUUUCCUCCCUAAUUCUAGGGUUUAUUGUUUUCAAUUUUAA
Molecule: long non-coding RNA, 10766 nt
Filed under: Cicer arietinum (chickpea)
Lineage: Eukaryota; Viridiplantae; Streptophyta; Magnoliopsida; Fabales; Fabaceae
Description: long non-coding RNA (CARI_LNC001784)
Source: RNAcentral